UACGUAGGGGGCAAGCGUUGUCCGGAUUUAUUGGGCGUAAAGAGCGUGUAGGCGGUUAGGUAGGUCCGUUGUGAAAACUCGAGGCUCAACCUCGAGACGCCGAUGGAAACCAUCUAACUAGAGUCCGGAAGAGGAGAGUGGAAUUCCUGGUGUAGCGGUGAAAUGCGCAGAUAUCAGGAAGAACACCAGUGGCGAAGGCGGCCGGCUGGGGGUGACCUGACGCUGAGGCGCGAAAGCGUGGGGAGCGAACCGG
RNAcentral lists this ribosomal RNA (253 nucleotides) under uncultured bacterium. Its description in RNAcentral is "partial 16S ribosomal RNA". It matches the Rfam family "Bacterial small subunit ribosomal RNA", at positions 524 to 776 of the family's 1533-position model. The record is from RNAcentral.